This 257-nucleotide long non-coding RNA is filed under the name Homo sapiens (human). Its description in RNAcentral is "HSALNT0217544". Lineage: Eukaryota; Metazoa; Chordata; Mammalia; Primates; Hominidae. The record is from RNAcentral.
CAGUCGGCUUAUGGCCAUGUGGUGUCUAAACAUCUGAAACUGAUUGCUGCCUACGAGGAAGUGCAAAUAAGCGGGAUCUGCAGCUGCCCAAGACAGGGGACCCAAAGGGAGAGAGCAGUGUGGCAAGCAAAAGGCAUGCUGAAGAGGCAGUGAGCCAAGGAAAAUAAAAAGGCAGAGAUGCAGGCCAUGAAGGAGACACAGGAGACAUAGACAAGGAGGGACCCAUCUUAAACUGACAAAUAAUGUAACCAAGCACC